RNAcentral lists this ribosomal RNA (271 nucleotides) under uncultured prokaryote. RNAcentral describes it as "partial 16S ribosomal RNA". It matches the Rfam family "Bacterial small subunit ribosomal RNA", at positions 524 to 794 of the family's 1533-position model. The record is from RNAcentral.
UACGGAGGAUCCGAGCGUUAUCCGGAUUUAUUGGGUUUAAAGGGUGCGCAGGCGGGAGAUUAAGUCGGCGGUGAAAUUUUGCAGCUCAACUGUAAAAGUGCCUUCGAAACUGGUUUCCUUGAGUGUAGAUGAAGUAGGCGGAAUUUGUGGUGUAGCGGUGAAAUGCAUAGAUAUCACGAGGAACUCCGAUUGCGAAGGCAGCUUACUAAGCUACUACUGACGCUCAGGCACGAAGGCGUGGGGAUCAAACAGGAUUAGAUACCCCUGUAGU